Molecule: ribosomal RNA, 541 nt
Filed under: Bifidobacterium bifidum
Lineage: Bacteria; Bacillati; Actinomycetota; Actinomycetes; Bifidobacteriales; Bifidobacteriaceae
Description: bacterial SSU rRNA
Rfam family: Bacterial small subunit ribosomal RNA
Source: RNAcentral
CGGGUGGUAAUGCCGGAUGUUCCACAUGAUCGCAUGUGAUUGUGGGAAAGAUUCUAUCGGCGUGGGAUGGGGUCGCGUCCUAUCAGCUUGUUGGUGAGGUAACGGCUCACCAAGGCUUCGACGGGUAGCCGGCCUGAGAGGGCGACCGGCCACAUUGGGACUGAGAUACGGCCCAGACUCCUACGGGAGGCAGCAGUGGGGAAUAUUGCACAAUGGGCGCAAGCCUGAUGCAGCGACGCCGCGUGAGGGAUGGAGGCCUUCGGGUUGUAAACCUCUUUUGUUUGGGAGCAAGCCUUCGGGUGAGUGUACCUUUCGAAUAAGCGCCGGCUAACUACGUGCCAGCAGCCGCGGUAAUACGUAGGGCGCAAGCGUUAUCCGGAUUUAUUGGGCGUAAAGGGCUCGUAGGCGGCUCGUCGCGUCCGGUGUGAAAGUCCAUCGCUUAACGGUGGAUCUGCGCCGGGUACGGGCGGGCUGGAGUGCGGUAGGGGAGACUGGAAUUCCCGGUGUAACGGUGGAAUGUGUAGAUAUCGGAAAGAACACC